Molecule: long non-coding RNA, 1144 nt
Filed under: Helianthus annuus (common sunflower)
Lineage: Eukaryota; Viridiplantae; Streptophyta; Magnoliopsida; Asterales; Asteraceae
Source: RNAcentral
AAAAAUUCAAAAGUCUAUAACAAAAAACAAAGAAAAUAUAAGAAAGAAACAGAAAUACGAAAACGUAUAUAUACCAUAAUAAUACCAUCAGGUCAAAGUAAUCGGCCACAUGGUCAGAGUUAACGGUCAAAACAAUCAACGGUUCAGAUCACCCCUCCCAAAAUCAACAAGCUUCCGUGACCUAUUGCCGGAAAACGAUUUAGCAUGUGAGAUAUGAGGCACAACCGGAGCUCUUACAUCGCCGGAAUAUCCACAAUCCACCGGCGGCUUUCCUUUCACGUUCAACAUCCGGUGCGGACUCGCACUCACUAACGGACAAAAAAUCAAUUCCGUCACCCUCUUCUGUCCGCCGCCGCGCCGGACCUGAGUCUUCACCGGCGUCUGUUUACACGACUCCGUCGACUCGUUCGCGCUCGAACCGUCGCUGACGUCAUCAUCGGUUCGCACCGGUGACAUUCCUCGAUCCGAAACAAACCGUUGCUUCCGUACUCCGCCGUUAGAGGCAGUUACAGACGACUGACGACCACGCCACCACGACGUCGACGGCGUCACCGACGACGGCCUACCGCCACUACCGCUCAGUCCGUUACAACUCGAAACCGAAACCCUAGGUCUCAAAUCGGCAUCUCCAUUACGGUUACAAUUUUCGUUACGAUCUCCGUUACGACUGCUAGACCUGAACAGAUUUGAAAUAGACGGAAACCUAACAAAAUUCGGUUUCUUCGAGUUUGAUGAACUACUACCGAUACAACCGCCGGUAGUAACCGCUAUCUGCGGUGAACUGUAGACUCUUCUAUCCGAUACGCUGUGACUGAGGCGAGGUUUGAUGUACGGCCGUUGAGUAACUGCAACUGGAUUGUUGACGGAUUUUCGGUGGCUGAUAUACGGAGAAACCGAACGAUUGACCGUCGGAUUCUUUGAAUUCGAAUUACAACGGUUCAGAUCUAUCGGCUGAGGUUGAGAUUGUUCUUGAGUAAGGAUUAUUGUGAAUAGGCGUUCACGGAGGCACGUAGCGCAUACGCCGGUGAUGCUGCUGAGAUCGAUGGUGGUGAUGCUGCUUGUGCCGCCGGCAACGGUGGUGGUGGGUGGGGGUGCCGGUGAGGGGUUGAGAAUGCGGUUCUAGCGCGUUUUGGUAUGAAUGGCG